UGAGCAAUCUGCCCUUCUCUUUGGAAUAAGCGUGGGAAACCGCGUCUAAUGCCGAAUACGACCUCCUUUCGCAUGAUCGGAGGUGGUAAAGCUCCGGCGGAGAAGGAUGAGCUCGCGGCCUAUCAGCUAGUUGGUGUGGGUAAUGGCCCACCAAGGCGACGACGGGUAGCCGGCCUGAGAGGGUGACCGACCACACUGGGACUGAGACACGGCCCAGACUCCUACGGGAGGNAGCG
This 236-nucleotide ribosomal RNA is filed under the name uncultured bacterium. Its description in RNAcentral is "partial 16S ribosomal RNA". It matches the Rfam family "Bacterial small subunit ribosomal RNA", at positions 118 to 353 of the family's 1533-position model. The record is from RNAcentral.